This 253-nucleotide ribosomal RNA is filed under the name uncultured prokaryote. RNAcentral describes it as "partial 16S ribosomal RNA". It matches the Rfam family "Bacterial small subunit ribosomal RNA", at positions 525 to 777 of the family's 1533-position model. The record is from RNAcentral.
ACGAAGGGUGCAAGCGUUAAUCGGAAUCACUGGGCGUAAAGGGUGCGUAGGCUGCGCCGUAAGUCAGAUGUGAAAGUUCAGGGCUCAACCCUGAAAUUGCAUCCGAUACUGCGGUGCUUGAGAAAUGAAGAGGAGUCUAGAAUUUUCGGUGUAGCAGUGAAAUGCGUAGAUAUCGAAAGGAAUACCAAAGGCGAAGGCAGGACUCUGGGCAUUUUCUGACGCUGAUGCACGAAGGCCAGGGUAGCGAACGGGA